RNAcentral lists this ribosomal RNA (254 nucleotides) under uncultured bacterium. RNAcentral's name for it is "partial 16S ribosomal RNA". It matches the Rfam family "Bacterial small subunit ribosomal RNA", at positions 524 to 776 of the family's 1533-position model. The record is from RNAcentral.
UACAGAGGUCUCAAGCGUUGUUCGGAUUCAUUGGGCGUAAAGGGUGCGUAGGCGGCGCGGUAAGUCGGGUGUGAAAUCUCGGAGCUUAACUCCGAAACUGCAUUCGAUACUGCCGUGCUUGAGGACUGGAGAGGAGACUGGAAUUUACGGUGUAGCGGUGAAAUGCGUAGAUAUCGUAAGGAAGACCAGUGGCGAAAGGCGGGGUCUCUGGACAGUUCCUGACGUGAGGCACGAAGGUCAGGGGAGCAAACGGG